RNAcentral lists this ribosomal RNA (253 nucleotides) under uncultured bacterium. RNAcentral's name for it is "partial 16S ribosomal RNA". It matches the Rfam family "Bacterial small subunit ribosomal RNA", at positions 524 to 776 of the family's 1533-position model. The record is from RNAcentral.
UACGUAGGGGGCAAGCGUUGUCCGGAAUUAUUGGGCGUAAAGGGCGCGUAGGCGGCCUGCUAAGUCGGACGUGAAAUCCCUCGGCUCAACCGGGGAACUGCGUCCGAUACUGGUGGGCUCGAAUCCGGGAGAGGGAUGUGGAAUUCCAGGUGUAGCGGUGAAAUGCGUAGAUAUCUGGAGGAACACCGGUGGCGAAGGCGGCAUCCUGGACCGGUAUUGACGCUGAUGCGCGAAAGCCAGGGGAGCAAACGGG